RNAcentral lists this ribosomal RNA (166 nucleotides) under uncultured bacterium. RNAcentral's name for it is "partial 16S ribosomal RNA". It matches the Rfam family "Bacterial small subunit ribosomal RNA", at positions 1335 to 1500 of the family's 1533-position model. The record is from RNAcentral.
CUAGUAAUGGCAGGUCAGCAUACUGCCGUGAAUACGUUCCCGGGCCCUUGUACACACCGCCCGUCACACCAUGAGAGUUGGGAAUACCCGAAGCCUGUGAGCUAACUUAUAGAGGCAGCAGUCGAAGGUAGAAUCAAUGAUUGGGGUGAAGUCGUAACAAGGUAAC